CAGAAGGAUAAUAUUAAUAAAAACAAGUUUUUAUUCCUAAUGGUCCCAAAAGAAAGCUUAAAAUCAUUUAAGAUACACCUGCCUGUUUAUACCAAUUGAUAUAAUCUAUUUAUGUAUAAAUAAGCAUUGAGGUGUUCCAUUGUGGCUGUCUAAGUAAACAUUGACAUUGAACAAAUGCAGUUUUGUCUAUUGACACUAUUCUUUGCUCAAAAGACCAUUUAUAGGUGCUUCUUGCUGUCUGUGUCAUAGACAAGCGUGUUCCUAUAAACCAGAAUUAUAAUUUUGUUUUCCUGAAAGUUGUUUGUUUUCAGAUCUUUGUGUGAUCUCUGUUUACCAAGAAAGUAUCUUCUUGAAAAUGCUUUGCGACUUGAUAUUGCUUUCUUGUUUGUGUUGAGUAGAUCAAAUUGGGUCUACUUUCUAUAAAACUGUUAAAAUAAGCCCAUUAAUACUGAGUAAUAGAAAUAAUAAAUCUGAAUGUUGAGAUGGCUUUAAUAUUUCAAUAACCCGUAUUUUCUGCUUCUAAACGUAAAUACAUUCUUGAUGAAAGUAUUCAAACCUCUUGUCUGAAGCAACCUGUAUCCUUUUUUUGUAUUGUGUCUCUAAUAACAACAAAAUUGACUUGAGGAGAAAAGUGAUUAUUUGCAAUAAGUCAUGUCACAAAAUCUAAUAGGGUACUGAGUGAAAGGUGGAAUUCUUUUCAAAAAACCAUAUCAAAUUCUUUAACUGCAUCAUGAGGUGUCAUGUGUAAAGCAGCCCAAUGAUGACUGAAAACCUCCACCCGUGAGAAAAGCCCCCAUAGAGGGAGUUUGCAUACGAGGCAACUUUAGGCUGUGUGAACUCAUUUGACAUUUUCACACAUUGAUGUGUUGAAUUAUUAAGCUAAUUCUUCACAACUAAAGUGUUAGAACCAUUGACACACGGAUUGUUUUAAAAAAUAAACAUUGAAUGUUGGAGGGUGCAGCAUGGCUAAAACUGUGGUUAUCCUUUGGUUUGUUCGGUGAGGUAUGGUUAGUGUAUGAGUUCAUUUGAAAGUGAAUAGGCUGCUUCUUUUCACCGUAUGGCUCAGUGAAAGGGAUCCGACACACUGCGGCAAAAAAAAAAUACAAAGCAAGCUGUAUCAUGUGACACUAUCAAGGAAAAGCACGUUAACCAGCCACACAGUAAAGUGAGGAAACAGGAAACAAAAAAAGGCAAAUAUUCAGAAGGAAUGAACAUACUGCAUUAAGAACCAAAACUUUUUUACUGAAUUUACAUUAAGUAGAUUUCAUCUCCUUAGAAAAUGUGUUUCUAACUUGCCACAUAUAGGGUAGUAAGUAGGUGGUUGAAUGGCGAGUAAAUUAUUGUCAAAGCUACUACAUGGAGUGGCUGUAAAUAAUUAGACAUUCUGAUGUCAUGUUUCCAUGGCUCUAUGACUUGAUGAACCUGUCUGACAAGCUGAUGACAAGAGGCUGUCGGGCAGCAGCUCACAUGUUUCCUCUUUCAGUGAAGUAAUCGUUCUGUCAAUAUUUGCAUUGGUAAUACCACUGUAAAUAUGCACCACUGCUCGGUCUGAGGAAAGGCUCCAGUCAGAAGGGGGCGGACAGAUUUACUGAAAACACCUCUGUGUUUUUUUGACAACUUUGCCAGCUUUGAUGCUGGUUGGAGCAAAGAAAAGGAAAGAAAUGUAGUGAGGCACACAUAUCUUUUUGUGUGCGUGUUUGUUUGUGCCUUUGUGUGGGUGAAAAUGGAGGAAAAAGCUAUCUCACAUUUCCACUGCAGGAAAGAAGAAACUGACUUCUCCUCACCAGCGUCCCCAGGUUGAUGUCACCUUUGGCCGUGUCUUCAGUUACAAUAGUGUCCGUUUUCCUCCUCUCCAAGGCUGUCCACUGUGCCCUCAGUCCAGAGAAGCAAAAAAGAAGGGAAGAGGGAGAGAGGCCGGGAAGUGCUUCAGGUGUACUGUUCACUGUGCCCUGACUGCCAGCCCUGCACAGGUGACGCAGCUCCUCCCCGGUCUACCUGUCAUGAAGGUUGUGAAGCCACACCCCCUUGACUGCUCAGCUAUGUUUCUUUAUAUGAGCUCAUUACAUCUUAGACGAACAGAAACUUUCAUUUGACAUCCUACAAACAAGCUAGACAUUUCAAAAGCAGUUGUGAAAAUUAUUAACUUACAAAACUGCUUUAUCCAUUGUGUACACAGUACAAAGGUUUUUUUUUCCUUUUGGGGAAGGGGGUUACUUGUUUCUUGGAAAUGUUACAUAAAAGUUUCAGUGAAAUAACACUACAUUUAGAUUAGAUCUCAAGCAAACAAAUAAAUCCCAUCUGAUCAAGUGCAGAAGUUGCUUUUUCCUGCUCUACAGGUUUUUCUUAUCAACCUUUUUUAGUGCUACUUGUAAAUGCACCUCCCCCAGUCUUGUGAUGUGAAGCUGUCACCCAAGCCUGACAAAAUCCUCUGGGAAAAACUAUAGGGUUAUCAUCUGCCUACCACGUUAGUCAUUAAUGCCUAAAGUAAUGCCCAAAGAUUUCUCCAUAGCACUCCCUGACAAUGUUGCAACGUUACACGGCAACACCUGGUCUGUGUUUUUAUAGCACAAAGAUUUCAUUUUUAUGUUUCCCCAAUGAAACACAGGACUGCUCUUGGAACACAAUGGCGAAACCUGCAGUCCCCCUCAGAGUAUAGAGCUACCAAGCAGCCCUUCAAAAAGCCACACAGCAGGGUUGUUGUGUUUUUUUUUUGUUCUUGCUCAUAGAAGGGCUGGGCUUUGUGGACCUUAAUGGUGUGGUGCAAUCAGAAUACAGUACAGUAGCAAGCAGACUGUUUACCUGGUUGACUUUUUUCCCUUAGGCUUUCAGAGGUGCCGACACCUAAAACCUUUAGAACCUGAAGGAAAAGUGAGUUUUGCUGCAAAUGUUUCACUGUUUGGCACCUUAUUUCUCUCCUCCAUAUUGUCUGGAUUCAGUCUCCUGACUGUGUUUGUAUAAUUUAUUUCAUUGAUGUUAACAUUUUCCUAACUCAUAAAGUAUGUGAAGAAAAUCAAAAUAUAGACACUUUCAUUUGGAAACAGUCCUUCUAUGUUAAUCAAUCAGCAGAGUAUUUUUAAAAUUACAAUAUUGUAGAUGUGGAUAUGGAUAAAUACGGUGUGUGACUGUCACUACACAUGUAUAAAAUUUUGUCAACAAAUGUAAACUGUAACAAAAAGAGAUGUGCUUAUAAAAUAACGUUGUAGUCAAUUUAGAUUGAAGUAGAAGCUAAAUAAAGAUGAUGAAGUGCAAUUAU
Oryzias latipes (Japanese medaka) is the source of this 3253-nucleotide long non-coding RNA. RefSeq lists it as uncharacterized. Lineage: Eukaryota; Metazoa; Chordata; Actinopteri; Beloniformes; Adrianichthyidae. The record is from RefSeq and is a predicted model, not a curated record.